AGUUAUAGCCAUACCACCCUGAAUGCACCCGAUCUCAUCUGAUUUCGGAAGCUAAGUAGGGUUGGGCCUGGUUAGUACUUGGAUGGGUGACCACCUGGGAAUACCAGGUGCUGUAUGCU
This is a ribosomal RNA of Protopterus annectens (West African lungfish), 119 nucleotides long. The record is from RefSeq and is a predicted model, not a curated record. Lineage: Eukaryota; Metazoa; Chordata; Ceratodontiformes; Protopteridae.